GAUGAACGCUGGCGGCGUGCCUAAUACAUGCAAGUCGAGCGAACAGACGAGGAGCUUGCUCCUCUGACGUUAGCGGCGGACGGGUGAGUAACACGUGGAUAACCUACCUAUAAGACUGGGAUAACUUCGGGAAACCGGAGCUAAUACCGGAUAAUAUAUUGAACCGCAUGGUUCAAUAGUGAAGGACGGUUUUGCUGUCACUUAUAGAUGGAUCCGCGCCGCAUUAGCUAGUUGGUAAGGUAACGGCUUACCAAGGCGACGAUGCGUAGCCGACCUGAGAGGGUGAUAGGCCACACGGGAACAGAGACACGGUCCAGACGCCUACGGGAGGAAGCAGUAGGGAAUAUGCCGCAAUGGGCGAAAGCAUGACGGAGCAAAGCCGCGUGAGUGAUGAAGGUCUUCGGAUCGUAAAACUCUGUUAUUAGGGAAGAACAAAUGUGUAAGUAACUAUGCACGUCUUGACGGUACCUAAUCAGAAAGCCACGGCUAACUACGUG
Molecule: ribosomal RNA, 497 nt
Filed under: uncultured bacterium
Lineage: Bacteria
Description: partial 16S ribosomal RNA
Rfam family: Bacterial small subunit ribosomal RNA
Source: RNAcentral